UACGAGGGGGGCGAGCGUUGUUCGGAAUUAUUGGGCGUAAAGGGUGCGUAGGCGGUUUGGUAAGUCUGAUGUGAAAUCUAUGGGCUCAACUCAUAGUCUGCAUCGGAAACUGCCGGGCUUGAGUAUGGGAGAGGUGAGUGGAAUUCCUGGUGUAGCGGUGAAAUGCGUAGAUAUCAGGAGGAACACCUGUGGCGAAAGCGGCUCACUGGACCAUAACUGACGCUGAUGCACGAAAGCUAGGGGAGCAAACAGGAUUAGAUACCCUGGUAGUCCUAGCCCUAAACGAUGACUGCUUGGUGUGACGGGUACCCAAUCCCGCCGUGCCGUAGCUAACGCGUUAAGCAGUCCGCCUGGGGAGUACGGUCGCAAGGCUGAAACUCAAAG
RNAcentral lists this ribosomal RNA (384 nucleotides) under uncultured bacterium. RNAcentral's name for it is "bacterial SSU rRNA". It matches the Rfam family "Bacterial small subunit ribosomal RNA", at positions 524 to 906 of the family's 1533-position model. The record is from RNAcentral.